This 2921-nucleotide long non-coding RNA is filed under the name Eucalyptus grandis. RNAcentral describes it as "long non-coding RNA (EGRA_LNC004336)". The record is from RNAcentral. Lineage: Eukaryota; Viridiplantae; Streptophyta; Magnoliopsida; Myrtales; Myrtaceae.
CCCAUAUUCAAGCGCAGGUGUCCAUGCCAUGCUCGAGGCUAUUUCCCAAGGAAGCGGCUCCUGAACUUUCCGUGCAUCGUACAUCCAUGAAAUUGGAACGUCCAUUAUAAACAAAAGUUCCGAAUCCAUGAACCGUGAAUUAAAAAUUAAAUCAAAAUGUAACAUCCGAUCAAAGUCAAGCUUCAAGGCCAGAAUUAUACCAAAGUUGAAUUUGAAAAUUCAGAACUAACGAAAAUACGAAAGUUCUUGGAUCCAAGGAAGUUGGACGAAAGAAUAACCGAAAAAUGAAAUGCUGUGGAAUAAGAUGCGAUCCUCACAAAAGCUUUUCCCGAAGCGUCGGAGACACGAUUGCGUGCCGCGAUCAGAAUCAUUCGCAAUUUAAGCUAAAAAAAUCUUGAAAUUAUACGAUAAAUCUCCAAAGAAAUGAUUGCCAAUCAACUUCCUUGAGUGAGAUUAAUUAUUCGUAAUUAAUUCUUUCUAUAUCGCGGAAAUAUUACGUCAAAAAUGUUCUGGCUCUAUAAAUUAGGCGUAGAUUUUAUUUUCGUUUUACUUCUUUUUUUUAAUUUUCUUCAACUUUGUAGAGCUUGGAACCAUCUUUUAGAGGGGAAAAAACCAGAAAUUUCUAUUAUUUUAACAGAGAACUAGAAUAGCAUUUUCAUUUCACGAGCCGAACAAAUCGUCCGCUUAAUUAAUUGACCUCGGCUUGGGGAGAAAAUCAAAUGUGUGACUAUCAAAAAGGAAAAGGCCGAUCAUUAAAGAGGAAUUAAUGCGAUCGAGCGAUCGAUUCGAAUUCGACAUAAAUCACGUUGCUGGAUUAAUUUUAAGGGUCAUGCCCGCAGCGCCGUUAGAUCGAGCCCUAAGCUCCCAUGAUUUUGGUCAAAAGUGUGAAACGGACGGUCGAUAUCGAUUGAUUAUUCCAAAAACAUAGGGAGGAAUAUGCCAUUGGGCUCUUCUCCAAAGAGUUGUCUUUCUUCUAAUAUUUAAAGGCACUAUGGUUAUCGACCCUUUAUUCCCGCACAAAUCACGGUUUUACCCCCCGGGGAGAUGCACGUUUAUCGUAAGCAAUUAGGUAAUAUGCUUGAAUCAUUCAACCUCUUUUUCAUCGCUGCCACCUUUCUACAAACAUUUUAAUUAGGUAAGUAUAUCAUAAGUUCUAAAAUUUAUAUAAAAGAUAUAAUUAAUUCCUAAAACUUUCAAAAAAUUGAAAUUAAAUCCUAAGAUUUUAUCAAAUUAGUACAAUCAAGUUAACUUUUUUUCAAUUUGGUUAAAGAAAAUGCUGACAUGUCUUUUUCUCUCCUUUUUACACGUGGUGUGAAUAUGGCAUCCCCACCAUAUGAAAGAAAAUUGAGAUCUUUUUAAAAAAUAAAAAAAGGAUAAAAAUACUAAAAAGAGGGGUGAAAAGUGAAAACAAUUGGUUCAUCAAAAUCAAAGGUAGUUUUAUCGUUUAUCUUAUCUUUAACUAAAUAAAUUUGCAUCGUUAUGAUCAUUCAGCAAUCAAAUGUUAAAUAAACAAUUAUCGUUAGUCUUCUUCGGUUAAAUGUUAAAUAAAACUAACUCAUUUCAAAAAGUUCAUCUUCUACUUUUGUUAAAUAGAUCUAAUUAUUUUUAGUUAAAAAUUCUUAUGUGCAUAGAAGAUUCGAGCUUACUAUUCAUCUUCUUCUUUCGUUUUCUAUUUAAGUUCAUCAGUUGCAUCCUUAAGUUGUUGGGAGCAUCGACCACACGUUCGCGCGAGCACAAGCGAGGAGAGAGAGAGGGCCUUACCAUGGGAGCAAUAUAGAGGUAACGACGGUGAUUUGGAGGCGGCAAUUAGCAGAAAUGCUCAAGCUUGAAAAAGCCUAGAAGCUAAGGUAGCGAUGGCUGAGUUCAAUGAAAUUCGAGCAGCUAUGACAAAGAGCUCAAAGAGAAGUAUUCCAUAUUAUUUAAGAAGAACCGAAAAAACUCUUUUAUUUUAACAGAGAACUAGAAUACCAUUUCAAUUUAAUGAGCCAAUCAAAUGGCUUGCCUAAUUAAUCGAGCUUGGCUUGAUUGCUCGUGUCUUUUGAUUAACGUGUUGAAUUUCCAAAAAAGAAAAAAGUCAACCAUUCAAAGAAUGGCUAUAGAGAUCGAAUGUUUAAUUUGAAUUCAAAUUCGACACAAAUUGUGUUGUCGGAGUAAUCUCAGGGGUCAUGUCCAUAUCAUCGGUCAAGCCUAAACUCCAUGAUUUGGUGAAAGUUUGUAAUGGACGGUCAAUAUGGAUUGAUUUUUCCAAUAACAUAGGCAGGAGUAUGCCUUUAGGACUCUUCUCCAUAGUUUCGUCUUUCUUUUAAUAAUUCUUAUAUACCAUUGUUGACGACCCCUUUCCCCGCUUCAAUCACGGUUUUACACCUCACGGACAUUCACUUUUAUCGUAAGCAAUUAGGUAAUAUGCAAAUUGGCUUGAACGGCACCCUUUUCAUCACGACCACGUUACUAAGAAGAUAUUAAUUAGGUAGUAUGCGUGGGCUUUCUUUUAAUCCGAUUAGAAAAAGAGCAAAAGUACCAAACAGUCUAAUAUGUAUCGUAAAAUUAUAAUUGAUUCCUUAAAAAAAGUACCAAACGGCUUACCAUGAUUUCGCCGAAGAGGAGACGACAGCAAUUCAAAGGCAACAACGAGCGAAAAAGCUCAAGCUUCAUCAAGCUCGAAGAACCUUGGAAGCUGAGGAGGCCAUGGUCGAGCCCAGUGAAACUCGAGCAGCCAUGACCGCGAGCUCAUGGAGCUCUAGUGGCUAUGGCCAAGCUUCACUAAACUCGAGUAGAUACCGCUACCAGCACCUCUUGGCAUUCUCAUAUAUCAUGCUCUACACGAGAAAAUAUUUCGCUUGCUCCUCAUAUCACGUAGCAAUGACUUAGGAAAAGAAGCGAGAUAAUUUAGAACUUAAAUUUAAAAUCAAUUGAGAUGCAUA